Molecule: ribosomal RNA, 381 nt
Filed under: uncultured Bacilli bacterium
Lineage: Bacteria; Bacillati; Bacillota; Bacilli
Description: bacterial SSU rRNA
Rfam family: Bacterial small subunit ribosomal RNA
Source: RNAcentral
UGAAUUCGAGCUCGGUACCCGGGGAUCCUCUAGAGAUUUGGCGGACGGGUGAGUAAUGUCUGGGAAACUGCCUGAUGGAGGGGGAUAACUACUGGAAACGGUAGCUAAUACCGCAUAACGUCGCAAGACCAAAGAGGGGGACCUUCGGGCCUCUUGCCAUCGGAUGUGCCCAGAUGGGAUUAGCUAGUAGGUGGGGUAACGGCUCACCUAGGCGACGAUCCCUAGCUGGUCUGAGAGGAUGACCAGCCACACUGGAACUGAGACACGGUCCAGACUCCUACGGGAGGCAGCAGUGGGGAAUAUUGCACAAUGGGCGCAAGCCUGAUGCAGCCAUGCCGCGUGUAUGAAGAAGGCCUUCGGGUUGUAAAGUACUUUCAGCGG